Molecule: ribosomal RNA, 497 nt
Filed under: uncultured bacterium
Lineage: Bacteria
Description: partial 16S ribosomal RNA
Rfam family: Bacterial small subunit ribosomal RNA
Source: RNAcentral
GAUGAACGCUGGCGGCGUGCCUAAUACAUGCAAGUCGAGCGAACAGACGAGGAGCUUGCUCCUCUGAUGUUAGCGGCGGACGGGUGAGUAACACGUGGAUAACCUACCUAUAAGACUGGGAUAACUUCGGGAAACCGGAGCUAAUACCGGAUAAUAUAUUGAACCGCAUGGUUCAAUAGUGAAAGACGGUUUUGCUGUCACUUAUAGAUGGAUCCGCGCCGCAUUAGCUAGUUGGUAAGGUAACGGCUUACCAAGGCAACGAUGCGUAGCCGACCUGAGAGGGUGAUCGGCCACACUGGAACUGAGACACGGUCCAGACCCCUACGGGAGGCAGCAGUAGGGAAUCUUCCGCAAUGGGCGAAAGCCUGACGGAGCAACGCCGCGUGAGUGAUGAAGGUCUUCGGAUCGUAAAACUCUGUUAUUAGGGAAGAACAAAUGUGUAAGUAACUAUGCACGUCUUGACGGUACCUAAUCAGAAAGCCACGGCUAACUACGUG